CCUACGGGAGGCAGCAGUGGGGAAUAUUUGCUCAAUGGGCGAAAAGCCUGAUGCAGCGACGCCGCGUGAGGGAUGACGCCCUUCGGGUUGUAAACCUCUUUCAGCAGGGACGAAGCGCAAGUGACGGUACCUGCAGAAGAAGCACCGGCUAACUACGUGCCAGCAGCCGCGGUAAUACGUAGGGUGCAAGCGUUGUCCGGAAUUACUGGGCGUAAAGAGUUCGUAGGCGGUUUGUCGCGUCGUUUGUGAAAACCAGCAGCUCAACUGCUGGCUUGCAGGCGAUACGGGCAGACUUGAGUACAGCAGGGGAGACUGGAAUUCCUGGUGUAGCGGUGAAAUGCGCAGAUAUCAGGAGGAACACCGGUGGCGAAGGCGGGUCUCUGGGCAGUAACUGACGCUGAGGAACGAAAGCGUGGGUAGCGAACAGGAUUAGAUACCCUGGUAGUCUACGCCGUAAACGGUGGGCGCUAGGUGUGGGUUCCUUCCACGGAAUCCGUGCCGUAGCUAACGCAUUAAGCGCCCCGCCUGGGGAGUACGGCCGCAAGGCUAAAACUCAAAGAAUUGACGGGG
RNAcentral lists this ribosomal RNA (570 nucleotides) under uncultured bacterium. Its description in RNAcentral is "bacterial SSU rRNA". It matches the Rfam family "Bacterial small subunit ribosomal RNA", at positions 338 to 918 of the family's 1533-position model. The record is from RNAcentral.